RNAcentral lists this long non-coding RNA (809 nucleotides) under Hordeum vulgare. RNAcentral's name for it is "long non-coding RNA (HVUL_LNC006719)". Lineage: Eukaryota; Viridiplantae; Streptophyta; Magnoliopsida; Poales; Poaceae. The record is from RNAcentral.
CAUUUGUGUGAUUAGCCGUGCAUUUGUACUAGUUAGAUCCAUUCUCUUUUUUUAUGACGAAAAUGUGCCCUUCUCCAUUCGUGCACAAUUUCUGCAUGGAUUGCAGAAAUAAGUCUGGAUUCCUUCUUCGACUGGUUUAGUGUCUCAUUCUGCGUCAACGUUUGUACAUGUGGGAAGUUUUCAUUGGAAAGGAAGCGAAAAUAUUAUAUCGUGGUGAUUUGUUGUGUGUUUGUGCUAGUUAAGUUCAUUUUUCCUUCCAAUGGAUGCGCAAUUUCUGUAUUGAUUGUAGAAACUAGGCUAGAUACCUUUCUCAAGAUGACUAGCUAAAAUUACUAUAGUCCUCUCUCGGGGUAGGGAGGAUUAAGCUCGUGAUGCUCAGUUUACAACUGGCAAAAUUAUUUCAGCAUGAAAAUCUCAUCAGAGACGGGCAUCAGAUAACAUCCAAUGUGAUUGCACUAUGAGUUCGUUCAGAUUUCAGGGUGAUUCUCCAGAUAGUGAAUCAUUGUUUUGUUCAUCACUUACGAUUUUUUCUGUACAUGUUUAGUGCUUGCUGCUUGGCCAUUGUUUUCAGUCCGUCCUGAUUGUUUACAACAUGUCUAACGUUUGCAAACUCUAUAUGUGUUCUUCAAACAGAUUUCGUACAAAUGGCUAAGCCGGAAUUUUUCUGUGUCAUCAAAUGAUGCCAAGAGGUGAUAAUUCACUUUCUCUUAUCAUUUCCAUUGCAUAACAUAGCAUCAUCACCUGACUAGUCUCUACUGCUAUCCAGGUUGCUUCAGGAGUUUGUCAACAAACAUGGAACUGAUCACGAA